UAAGCGGAGGAAAAGAAACCAACAGGGAUUGCCCCAGUAACGGCGAGUGAAGCGGCAACAGCUCAAAUUUGAAAUCUGGCGCAAGCCCGAGUUGUAAUUUGCAGAGGAUGCUUCAGGGCAGCGACCGGUCUAAGUUCCUUGGAACAGGACGUCGUAGAGGGUGAGAAUCCCGUAUGCGACCGGUUGGCACCCGUCACGUAGCUCCUUCGACGAGUCGAGUUGUUUGGGAAUGCAGCUCUAAAUGGGAGGUAAAUUUCUUCUAAAGCUAAAUACCGGCCAGAGACCGAUAGCGCACAAGUAGAGUGAUCGAAAGAUGAAAAGCACUUUGGAAAGAGAGUUAAAAAGCACGUGAAAUUGUUGAAAGGGAAGCGCAUGCAACCAGACUUGUCGGCGGUGUUCCGCCGGUCUUCUGACCGGUCCACUCGCCGCCGGCAGGCCAGCAUCAUCUGGGCGCGCCGGACAAAGGCGCGGGGAAUGUAGCUCCUCGGAGUGUUAUAGCCCCGCGCACAAUACGGCGCCGCUCGGGUGAGGUCCGCGCUUCGGCUAGGAUGCUGGCGUAAUGGUUGUCUGCGGCCCGUCUUGAAACACGGACCAAGGAGUCUAACAUCUAUGCGAGUGUUCGGGUGUCAAACCCCUACGCGGAAUGAAAGUGAACGGAGGUGGGAAGCGCAAGCUGCACCAUCGACCGAUCCUGAUGUCUUCGGAUGGAUUUGAGUAAGAGCAUAGCUGUUGGGACCCGAAAGAUGGUGAACUAUGCCUGAAUAGGGUGAAGCCAGAGGAAACUCUGGUGGAGGCUCGCAGCGGUUCUGACGUGCAAAUCGAUCGUCAAAUUUGGGUAUAGGGGCGAAAGACUAAUCGAACCAUCUAGUAGCUGGUUCCU
This 880-nucleotide ribosomal RNA is filed under the name Teratosphaeria nubilosa. RNAcentral's name for it is "eukaryotic LSU rRNA". It matches the Rfam family "Eukaryotic large subunit ribosomal RNA", at positions 47 to 959 of the family's 3401-position model. The record is from RNAcentral. Lineage: Eukaryota; Fungi; Ascomycota; Dothideomycetes; Mycosphaerellales; Teratosphaeriaceae.